GAUGAACGCUGGCGGCGUGCCUAAUACAUGCAAGUCGAGCGAACAGACGAGGAGCUUGCUCCUCUGACGUUAGCGGCGGACGGGUGAGUAACACGUGGAUAACCUACCUAUAAGACUGGGAUAACUUCGGGAAACCGGAGCUAAUACCGGAUAAUAAAUUGAACCGCAUGGUUCAAUAGUGAAAGACGGUUUUGCUGUCACUUAUAGAUGGAUCCGCGCCGCAUUAGCUAGUUGGUAGGGUAACGGCUUACCAAGGCAACGAUGCGUAGCCGACCUGAGAGGGUGAUCGGCCACACUGGAACUGAGACACGGUCCAGACUCCUACGGGAGGCAGCAGUAGGGAAUCUUCCGCAAUGGGCGAAAGCCUGACGGAGCAACGCCGCGUGAGUGAUGAAGGUCUUCGGAUCGUAAAACUCUGUUAUUAGGGAAGAACAAAUGUGUAAGUAACUAUGCACGUCUUGACGGUACCUAAUCAGAAAGCCACGGCUAACUACGUG
Molecule: ribosomal RNA, 497 nt
Filed under: uncultured bacterium
Lineage: Bacteria
Description: partial 16S ribosomal RNA
Rfam family: Bacterial small subunit ribosomal RNA
Source: RNAcentral